CAUUAUUUGAAGUCACAAGAGGAGCGACUUAACCCCAUCACAACAGAUCUAGAGCAUCAAAACACCAAAUUUAGUUGUAGGCAUCAUGGUGCUCCAAGAGGUAGGCCUCAAUGACCUUAAAGAGGUGAGAGGCCUUCUCUUUUCCGGCCUUGACAUGCUCUUCCUUGAUCUCAACAUCACCCUUGACAUGGUAUUCACUGGUGCUCUUGAUGACGGUACCACUGCCGGAUGCCACCAACUUAGUCUCGUAGCAGAUCUUCUCGAUUGAGUCAGGAGCUCCCUCAAUCACACUGUAGCUGUAGACAAAGUUCUCACAGUCAAUGGCAUCAAUUCUGUGCUUUACAAAGCUGUAAGUGCUACCUGCAAAUAUCAUGAAACAAAUUAGUUAAGUAUGAAAAAUGCAUGAUCCGUCUAUAAAUUCUGUGUUGUGGCGCAAAAUAAGUCUAGGAUUUUGAUUUACUAUGAAUUUGUAUCAAUGUUAACGUGAGCUAGACUAGUUACCUUCGCCGAAGGUGAUCUUCUUGAUGGUUCCAACACCACCAUCUCCUUCGAGGAUCUCAGCGGACUUAACUGCCUGGGGGGCAAUCUUGGGGAUGAGGUUGUCAGCAUCGAGAACGAAAGCCUUGAACAACCUAGCUGGGGCGAUAACAGAAGUGUAUUCAGCCUCGUACUUGAAGACACCCAUGAUUAGUAGUCAAGUAUAUGGAAACUGAUGAGAAAACGAAGGAGGGGAAGAUCACUUAGAUUGAUGAUGUUGUAGUGGGAGAUUUUGAGUUGUGAAGAACUGAGUAGUAGCUACGGGUAUUUAUAGGUUCGACGAUGAAGGUUUACAUUACAAGUUUCAAAUUGUUUAAUUGGUUGUGAGCAUUGUGCCGUGGUGACCAUUACGUUUGUACAUGGAAUAUCUUGAAACUUAGUCAAGGAAGGCACCUUGGUAUUAAUAAGAAACAUCCAAUUAAGCUCACGAGGUGAACUAUAAUCUUAAGAAGUUUCUUCCCAUUGUUUGAUAAAAGGUACAAUAUCCAUGUGCAACUAACCUAUGAUUUUCGAUGAACCAUGUUCUCUCCGAUUUUAAAAUUUCUAACAGAUUGAUAUCAAGGUUCACAGACAUUAGAAUUUUGAACAGAGUAAUGAUCGAUCAUCACUCUCUGUCUAUCGAUAUAGAUAUAUCGAUCGAUCAAGGUUCACAGACAUUAGAAUUCUCUUCAGAAGCAGCUUGAGUUGAUUCAUUCCCAUUAAUAAGUUUCCAGUUCCAUGUUUUCAUUUCUAUUCACCCUCUCAUUUUCACUAUUCACCAUCCUUAGCAGUUCAAAUAGUAAAAGCAAAGACGAUCAUCAGAGCCCACAAAAUUAACAAUGACUUUGUUCCUUGCUGGCUAACGAUCCCACUAGCUAGGUUACACCAAAAUCCCAUGUUUUAAUAUUAGUAUGAAUAUCAUUUAAGCAAGUUGAGAGAGAAAAUUAUAUCAUCUGAACAAUAAUAUAGUUUCUGUCCAGUGACGAUCCAUAUAAUAGAACUGCAUGGACCCUUCUGUUUUAUCAAAAGGACUUGGAAUAAUCUAUAUAUAUGAAAAAAAUAUAUACAUGCAAUGUAUCGACAAGAAUGAAAAGUUAAGAACGUGAACCUGAACUGGUUAAGAGCAUGUUUAAGAGCUGUUGAAAAUGGAAGCUUUCGGAUCUAGCAGCCGAUGUUGAAAUGCAGGUCAUUCGAUCAAGUCGAGUCAUCCUAGCUAGCUAUUUCGAAAUUUCUGUGAAAUGUGCAGUUUUACCAUUUGAUUCCAACUUUCCAAGUAAUGCACGUAGUACUCGAUCUUAAACCCCACUUAUAGAUCUUACUGACUCAUAAAGUCAUAAUUUGAUAGCGCUCUAUAGUGAAAUGACUGAAAUCUAGAGUGCUUCACUCUUGGUAAAGUUAAAAAGUUUUCUGCACCGACCACACCAUUAUCGCACAUGUUAGAACUUAGAAACCAGCUGAGUACACAGAACUGUCGACUGAAGUUACUUUGCCAAAGGUUGAUGAGAGCACAAGUAGCUGAAAGCAAGAAGCAAAAUAUAAAAACAAGGACAACGAGCGUGCGUGAACCAAUUCCGAUUAGAAGCUUUGUUUUACGUUCAAGACUUGAAAAGCUUCAGUCAUUCAAUAAUGGCAACCACGGUUGAUUAACAUUUGUUAUCAGUAUUCUGUUAACAGUUCCAUUAUGAUGAAUGAGUUUGAAUCCCCUUUCUCCCGAAGAAAAAAGGGAAAUGAGUAUAAAUUAAAGUAGAAAAAUGAUCGAGUACGUUCCUUCGACUUCAUGAUCAUCGAUCCUACUCUUGGAUCCAAAACCUUUUUCUUUUUUUUCUUUUUUUUUUGAGAAUGGGAUCCAAUACACUUGUUUCUGAUCUAUUUUGGGAAUUCGCGUACAUGCUACUGAUUAUUGGAAUUUUUGAUGUGAUAUUUCAAAAUACAAAAAUUAUUUAUUGAGUUUAAUUGUAGUCAAUUAUUUGGUGCUUUGAUUUCUAACGUAACUCUCAUUUUAUAAGUACAUCCGUUGCAAUUGUAACACAUAUUAACUCUUUUUUGUCUGUUAUUCUCCUUGACUUCAUGAUUUGAAUGUUGUCAGUUAGAAGCCUUUAUUCUAUCAUGAUUAUAUCUUCUCAUACACUACUAUAUAUACUCUUCAUGUCAACCUUAUCAAGAUAUACAUAAUGAAAAUUUCAUUUUAUUCUCUAUUCUCAUUUCUCCCUAGUCAUUCCUCUUGUGAGUCCAACCAUAUUAUGAGUUAUGCCAAAAUGAGUUGUCAAGCGGUUCUACGAUCCAAGUAUUGCGAGUGUACGCUUACGAGGAUCAACGGUUGUUGUACCCUGGAGGGUAGGGCGCCAAAAACCUAUUACACCGAGCAUUGUCUCCGAGGGGCGAAAUCUACUCUUGAGGGCAGUAUUUACACGCCUCAACCUUAAACAUUUUCUUGAACAAGUGUUUGAUGCAUGCUUCAUAAUCAAAGAUAAGUAUUUAUAUUUUGUUAUUUUAUUGUUAUUUUGGCAUCAUUAUAAGUAUUAUUAUUUGUUAAUAAUUUUGAGUAUUUAUGUGAUUUUGUAGGUGACAAAAUCUGGUGACGUUAUUAACAUCCAUUGACCCAAAUUUUCUAACAAUCUUAAGAGUAGACAUCGUUGGUGGAUGUUUCCUUGUGGUAGAAACUUUGAUAUAAAGAUAAGUCCUCUACUACUAGUCUACUAUAUAUUACUUAAUAUUUUUACGAGGUUACUAUCAUUUAAAAGAGCUUUGAAAGCUUUUCUUCUAAACCCAAAAGGGUUGCUUUUAAUUUAUUUGAUGAAUUAUAUUGGGCUCUCAUAUUAUAUAAUUGUCAUCAUGUAUGCAUGAUCAUUAUAUUAUUUGCUUAGUAUCGUUUUAUCUAUUAAUUAAUACUACUUACUCUGCAUGGUUACAAUAACAUGUGUGAUAUUGUGAUGAUUGAACAACUUGUAAGGUUAUCACAUAUGUUACAAUGUAAAUGUGCUUAUAGUCUAAAUGCUUUAUGAGUAAGUAUUAAAACGGGCAAUUAUAUUCUUUAGUAAUGCAUGCGGUAAUUAUAAUUUAUGUUGUGUGUUAUUAUUACAUUGCACUAACAUUGGUUUUUAUGAUUGAAGGAAAAUAAAUAUGAUUGCCAUGAGGAUAUGGUUACUAUUAAUACAGUUGCCUAAUUAUAUAUCGUGGGUUACUCGAUAUUUGCUCAGAUAAUUGGCUCGGUAUGUUGCCAUAAAGAUUUCUGGUUGCCAUUUGAAUUUGUGUAGCCUUUCGAAAUUGAUGGUUACAAAUGUGGGGGUGACUAAUGUCAUCUAAAGGUACAAAUUGGUACAUGCCAAGAUAGUUACCUAAAUAAAUGUGAGUGAUACUGUCACGUCAGUAUAUAUGAGUUUAUGGCUAUCAGUCAUACCAAAAAAUGUGGGGGUCAAAGAAAAACAAGGAAAGAUUGGCUCUUAUGGUCCAAUGAUAUUGGAUAACUGAGAAUCCAAUUGUGAUUACUUAUUCUCGAGAAUAUUCAAUAAGUUUCAUAUGUGAGAGUUGAUUUUGGCAGAUACUCUUACAACCACUACGCUAAAGACCAAAGCUAGUGAUUAGUACAUCGAGGGGGAUGAGACUUAUGCCUAUAACAAAGGUCAAGAGUGAUGGUAACCUAACCUAUGUGAUUGGAGAUCCCAUGAAGUAGGUUCAUAUGGGUAAUAACAAGUCAAUUGUUGAUCAGUGGUGCACUAUCAAAUUAAAAAUUUAGAGUCUAUUCCUAUGAUGUAAAGAUAAUGCUUUAACUAGAACGUAUAAUUAAGAAUAAACUUUGUUCUUAAGGAGUACCAUAGCCCUUUCUUUUGGGUGGUGUGUUUGAUUCCAGUACACACUUGAUGGACUCACCUAUAUGAGUGUGGAAAUGGGGCCGCUUCUUAUGAGACUUGCACUACCAGGAUAAGCACUUUAGCCGAUAAAAAGUUUCGUCGGUCUGUUAGCUUAAUUUGUCGGCUAAGAUCUUAGCCGACGAAGGCUCGUAGGCUAAGAUUUCGUCGGGAAAAGGUCGUCGGCGACGACUUUAGCCAACGAAACUAGAAGACGUCGUCGGCUAUAGUCCCAUAGUUUAGCCGACGAAAAACAUGUCGUCGGUUUUCUUCCCAGACUUUAGCCGACGAAACAUUUAAGAUAUUCGUCGGCUAAAGUCUGUCAUAAAAAAUUAAAAGAAUAACUAUAGCUGACGAAAUAUAGUCUAUUUCGUCGGCUUUAGAAGGGUUUAGCCGACGAAACAUUCCAUAUUUCGUCGGCUAAACCUUAUUUAAAAAAAAUUAAAAUACUAUAGCCGACGAAUUAUUGCGUAUUUCGUCGGCUAUAAGUCAAUUCCAGUAAAAAAACCCGAAAUUUCUAAAUUACCAUUCCAAGCAAGCUGCAAAAUACAUCAAAACAAUUCCAUAUAACCAACAACAAACACAUAAAACUAUAUAAUUCAUCAACUACACAAAAUCUAGAUCGUCUAAAUUAAUAUCCGCUUCUGGGUGCUGCUGCGGAGGUUGCGGCGGCUGGGGUAGCGGUAUAGCCGUAGGCAUGGGUGGAGCCGGAAGUCCCUGAAGCUGGGCAGCUGUAAAGUCCUGCAUGUACUGGAACAUCUGCUGCUGCUGGAUGGCAUGUAUCUCGGCAGCAUAGGCUGCCUGCGAGGCAUUAUAGGCUGCUUGCGAGGCAUUAUAGGCUGCCUGAGUAGCUUGCUGUUCCCAUAGUCUCUAAACUUUUGACUCUGGCUGAGUCGUCCUGGUGGUCGUGGUCCUGCUGCUGGUCGAGGCUGCAUUUCGUUGAAAUCCUGGAGUGGUCUUCAAGACCCCCUCGCCCUUCUUUCCUAGGCCCUAGCAGUAAAAGUUGUUUGCUCACGAUGGGAAGGCUGUGCCCAUGAUCCUCGCCCCAACCGUCAGAUCCGAAGUGUCGAUCCGGGACAUGGCUUUGGACAUCUCUUCCUCCUGUGUGUCCGGCCAUGUCUCCCUCACUAUAGCACUCAUCACCUUGUCACUAGCCUCCCUCACCUUCACCUAAUUGAAUAAGAAAAAAAUUAUUAAUUAACAUUUUGACAUAUAUAUAAAUAAAAUUAAAAAUUUAAAAACAUAAGAUGACUUACAAUAUCCUCCUGGACGUCAGGAUAUCCCUUCUCAUACGUAUAGACGUACCGGUUGACUUCUGGAUGUUCCCUAGCCGCCUCGUCCAUGAAGACAGCGAAUGGUCUAGAACCGGCAUGAUGGUUCCUUGUGUUGCGUUGCCGGUUCUGAGCGUUCGCCCGGGAAACGGCCUUCAAAGAAAAAAAAACUAUUAGUAAAAUAUUUAAAAACACACGUACUUAAUGACAAAUUAACUAAUUAAUUUUUUUAAAUACCUGUUUAUGAGGGUUGUUGAAUUCUGAUGUCAGAAGCCAACGCCACUCGUACUCCCUGUACUGGAACUCAGCAGGGGUACCAGAAUGUGCGUUCCCGUGAGUAGUCUAGUGAGUCCGCAACUCGUUCUUCCACUCCUUGUACCUACAGAUACAACAAAAAUAUUAGAAAUAUUAUUAAGAUCACAUACAAUUUUGUUUUUUCAUUAACUUCCCAACGUACCUUCCCCCAUGCACAACGUCCGCCCAGCUGCUCUUUAGGUGCUCGGGAACCUCAAACCACACCUGCAUUUAACCGUUUAUUAGUUUAAUUUUUCGAGAAAUCAACAAUGUAAUACAUAAUAUUAUUGAGGCAUUUUGUAAACUCACCGACAUCGCGUUGUGGACCAUGUCCUUAACCUCCUGCGGGACCUCGCCCCAGUCUGACCACAACAUAGGGACUCUAUCCCUAAUGAGUGCUCCCACGCGGCAGGAGUACGUCCUCGACUUCCCGCCUGAUACUACGUCGCCAUCCCCGUCAGUACGGAUGACAAUCCUCCCUGAGGUACUGACGAUCUUCUCGAGAGCCUUCCUUGUGACGGGGCCUCUCUUCUUCUUUGCCGGCUUCGCUCCGACGGUGCCUAUCACAUGAUAAACCAAAUUGAUUAUUAAAAUCGGAGAAUUAUAAGAAAACAAUCAUUCAUCUUUCAUUACCUGAGGGCGAUGCGGCGGACACGACGGAUUCCGUUUCUGUCGCCGAUGAUGAUACCCUCGCGAAAAUAAGAGGCGUAUCAAAAGGUACAAAUCGGUAUGCCGCUGAUGGAGCCACUAGCGGGGGCAGUGGAUAAAUCAGCGUCCCUGAGCCAUUGACUGCAGGUAAGGCCGGUAUCAUCCGCGGAAGGAACAUAUGAGGCGGCGGCAUCUGUACCCCAGAUGACCCACUAUCCGAAGAAGUAGGACCCGGAGUGGGCGCCCGGUGUAUCUCAGGCAUACGGGGUGCAAACACCUCCGUCUGGGUCUGAGGCCACAGCUGCCUCGAGGAAUGAGGGACGCCCCGCUGCCUCGAUGAAGGGGGCACCUCUGACUGCCUUUGCGCCGUCUCCAAAAGGGCCGCACGUCUGGCUGUCAUGGGGCCCUGAAACGACGUUUGAGGGUUGCUAGAGGUUUCCUCAGACGAUUCGGACCUUUGGCCCUUCGAACCCUUCGUCGAUCUAAAAUUACCGCUCAUCCUGUUUAAAAUAUUAAUUUGAAUCAAGGCCAAUGUUUUAAAAAAUAUACACUUCCUAAAUACAAAUAUACACUUCCUAAAUACUAAAUACAAAUAUACACUUCCUAAAUAUAAAUAUACAUUUCCUAAAUAAAAAUAUACACUUCCUAAAUACAAAUAUACACUUCCUAAAAGUCAAAAGGAACUAAGAAAUUAUGAAUACUGCAAUGAUAUUAACAUUCUCCAAAAACGGAGUAUAUAUACAAGAGAUAUCAAAACCUAUUAGGAAACUAACUAUGACAGGAUAUUCCUAAAAUAACACAAUAUUCACAAUCCUAAUACUAUAUGGUAUGACUCACUUCAACACUCCCCCUCAAAUGCGCAUACAAAUCACCAAUGCCCAACUUGUCAAGAGAGUCAUGAAAGGCUUUACUUGAAAGAGCUUUUUUCGUAAGGAUAUCAGCCAAUUGUUCUUCUGUAGGGACAAAAGGAAAAAAAAUAAUCUGAUCAUCCAACUUCUCUUUAAUGAAAUGUCGAUCUACCUCCACAUGCUUUGUGCGAUCAUGUUGAACAGGAUUGUGAGCAAUUUCAAUAGCAGCCUUAUUAUCACAAUAAAGCGGCAUAGCCUUCUUUUGCCGAAAUCCCAAAUCUCUCAACAAGUGUCUCAACCACAACAUCUCACAAAGUCCUUGAGCCAUUUCUCUAUAUUCUGCUUCAGCACUAGAACGAGCUACCACAUUUUGCUUCUUACUUUUCCAAGUAACCAAAUUACCACCAACGAAAUGGCUUGAAGUAGACCUGCGAUCUGUAAUAUUACCUACCCAGUCUGCGUCUGUGUACCCAGAAACAUCCAAGUGCCUAUGUUUUGAAAAAAUUAAUCCCUUCCCUGGAGCAGACUACAAAUACUUCAAAAUACGAAAUACAGCUUCCAUAUGAGCCUCAUUAGGAUUAUGCAUAAAUUGACUCACCACACUAACUGCAUAGGCUAAAUCUGGUCUGGUGUGAGACAAAUAAAUCAACCGGCCAACUAACCUCUGAUAUCGCGCCUUAUUUGUAGGCACUUGAUCCAAAUACUCUGCUAAUCGAUGGUUUUGCUCAAUAGGAGUAUCAGCUGGUUUACAAUCAAGCAUACCCGUUUCUGCUAAGAAAUCUAGGACAUACUUCCUUUGACUCAGCACAAUACAAUCCUUCCCACGAGCAACUUCAAUUCCCAAGAAAUACUUUAGACUACCCAAUCCAUCAUCUCAAAUUCAGAAGACAACAAAUCUUGUAACCUCUGAAUUUCCUCACUAUCAUCACCUGUCACAACCAUGUCAUCUACAUAUAUAAUUAAAGCUGUCACCUUACCACACCGGUGUUUAAGAAACAAAGUGUGAUCUGAAUUACUUUGUCGGUAUCCAAUCCUCUUCAUGAACUUAGAAAAACGUCCGAACCAUGCUCUAGGUGACUGCUUUAGACUGUAAAGGGACUUCUUCAGCUUGCACACUACCUGCUCUCCAGUUAAAGUACAAUGCCUAGGAGGCAAAUCCAUAUAGACUUCUUCAUGCAAAUCACCAUGCAAGAAAGCAUUCUUAACAUCAAACUGUUGCAACGGCCAAUCAAGGUUGGAGCUGACGAAAGAAGUACUCGUAUUGUAUUAAUUUUGGCUACUGGUGCAAAUGUCUCAUCAUAAUCCAUCCCAUACUUCUGAAUGUAGCCUUUCGCUACUAACCUCGCCUUGUACCUGUCCACAGAACCAUCCAAAUUAUGUUUCACAGUAUAGACCCACCGACAUCCAACCAACUUCUUCCCGGGUGGUAAUGACACUAACUCCCACGUACAGUUUUUCUCAAGAGCAUCCAUCUCAACUUUCAUUGUCUGCAUCCAUCUUUCACCCCGCAUUGCAUCCUGCACUUUACUAGGGAGAGACACACUAGAUAAUUGAUUCACAAACGCAACAUAUGGUUUAGACAACCUAUGGGUUGACACAUAAUUAGCAACAGGGUACCGAGCUUUUGCACUUAGAGUAGGUUCAUAAUGUUUCGGAGGCUGACCACGAGUGACCCGGUUAGGCAAUUGUUUGGUAGGCACAUUAGUAGACAGAGAGGAAGAAUUAGAAAAUACCUCGGGUGAUUCAUGAGCUUGAGAGACUUGUUCAGGAAAGGGAGAGACCUGGAUAUUGUUCACAUGAGGAUUUCCAUCAGUAAUUUUCUCCCUUGCCGACAAACUAGAUUGAGCUUGAUUGUCAACUAGCACCGAUUGACUGAUUGUACGUGAAACCGAGUCUGUAGGAUUACUACCCAAAACAUUGGGUGUACUGAUCAAAUUCUCGGUCUCCUUACUGCCCAGAACGCCGGAGCUGGAGCCGGCGCCGUCCAUGCUACUGCCCAGCAACUCUCCUCCGGCUGACUGAGUUUGCGCACCGGACACCGACAAGACGGGCUGACAGGAUUGACCUUCUCCGAUCGAUGCACAGGUGACGGGUGGACGAGACGAGCUGGUCCGAUCUAGAGAAGUCACAUCGAUCGGGGAACCAAGAGAACACUGAGAGUUCGACGAAUCCUUGGUGGCAUGUCGAUCUGGUGGCGUCGGUGAAUCAAGCGACGACACUAAAGGCUCGCCGGCGUGUUUGGGUCCAUUGUUCCUCAAUGACUGAUCGAGUUUUGGGUCGCAGCUUCUUGAUGAGGACGGCUGGUAGUAAACCAAUGGUUGACCAGUUGAUGGAGUAUUUCUUUCUUUUCCAAUUUCUUUUGUUGACUCCUCAAAAAAUUCACCAAACAAAUCUUCAUAAAAACAUGACUUCUCCCCCUGACGAGGAGUCAUCGGAGGUAAAAAAUAACACACAUCUUCGUUAAAGGUAACAUCCAUGGUGACAUAAAAUCUUUGGGAUGGAGGAUGAUAACACUUGUAACCUUUCUGAUGAGAACCAUAUCCCACAAACACACACUUAAGGGCUCUAGCAUCCAAUUUUGACCUUUGAUUCUUAUACAAAUGAACAUAAGCAAUACAACCAAAGACACGAGCAUGAAGAGUAUUUGAUGACGGAAUAGGGACAUAUUGAGACAAGACAUAAAAAGGAAUACGACCUUGAAGAGGAGGCUGACGGGAGACGAUUAAUUAGAUGAGACACACACAACACGGCUUCUCCCCAAAGGUACUUAAGCAUGUGAGCAAUUAGGAGGAGAGACCGUGCCAUGUCCAAGAGAUGACGAUUUUUCCGUUCUGACACCCCAUUUUGUUCAGGUGUUUAUGGACACGAAGUUUGAUGUAUGAUGCCAUGGUUCUGGAAAUACUCACUGAAAGAACGAUUGAAAAACUCACCUCCAUUAUCUGAACGAAAGAUUUUAACACGUGCAUCAUACUGAGUACGAAUAAGAUUAUGGAAGGCUAUGAAGGCAGAAAAAAUAGCAUCUUUGGACUUAAGCAACACCACCCAAGACAAACGAGUAAAAUCGUCAAUGAAUAACACAAAGUAACGCAUUCCAGAAAGAGUGGAAUUUUUUGAAGGACCCCAUAAAUCCGAAUGAAUUAAUUCGAAAGGCAUAGAACUCGAAUGAAAAACCAAAGGAUAACUAGACCUAUGACUUUUGGCCAAAACACAAGUUUCGCAGUGCAAGGUAGACUCAUUAAUUCCCAGAAACAAUGAGGGCAUGGACUUCUUCAUAACUCCAAAAGAUGGGUGGCCCAACCGUCUGUGCCACAACCAUAGUUCACUUAAUCGAUCAGAAUUCAAUGUCAGGGCCAAAGGUUGCUUCAGUGCUUGUGUCGGCUCAGCGUACAUGCAAUCCAGGUGAAAUAGUCUCCCCCUCAGGUCUCCCUUGCCAAUGAUCACCCUGCAACACAAAUUUUGAAACACAACAUACAUUGGGUAAAAGGUUACAGAACACUUAUUUUGAGAACUCAAUUGGGAGACAGACAAAAGAUGAUGGGAUAAUGAUGGUACAUAAAGCACAUCAUGCAAUAUAAUGGAUGGUGUAACCUGAAUAGACCCAAUACCUAGAACCGGAAAAGAUGCACCGUUCGCGUUUGAAACAUGAGAUAUAGAAGGGGAUGACAUAGACAUAAAGAAAGAUUUAUCAUAGGUCAUAUGGUCUGACGCGCCUGAAUCAAUAAUCCAAGUAUCACCACCAGUAAAGUUAGAAACAUGUAAAGCAACACCAAUUUUACCUCGAAUUUUCGUAGUCAAGGAAACAUUACCCUUUGAAAACUCUCUACCUUCAUUGUCAUAGAAGGACAAGCUUUGAGACGCCCCACUCUUCCCUUCAAUAGCUUUCAAAUCCACCAUUUUUCCAUCAAAUUAUUCUAAUCACCAGACAACAAAUUUUCAAAAGAAAUUGUCCAAGUUGCUGGACGUCACUGAACCGCCUUAGCCAAUCCAAUCACACAAGUUCACCUCACACAAUACAAGGCCUGCUCAACGUUUUUUUUUUCCAGACGUUGACAACUUUACCAAUCAACAAACACCUCAAUCAAUUAAACAAGCUUGCACCUCCACCAAUUGUACAAAGCUUGCUCUCGAUACCUCCAAGCCAAUUUAACAAAGCUAUAUCUUCACAACUAAAAAACCCAAACUCAACGAUCGAAACACCAAAAGAACUUCGCCAAUCUCAACAACUGAAAAAGCAGAAGAAAAAAAACUUCAAUGACCAAAAGAACCAAAUUCGCAGCGGAACAAAACCACCAAGUCCGAUGGAUCUUGAUUCGGCUCUGAUACCAAGUCAAAAGGAACCAAGAAAUUAUGAAUAUUGCAAUGAUAUUAACAUUCUCCAAAAACGGAGUAUAUAUACAAGAGAUAUCAAAACCUAUUAGGAAACUAACUAUGACAGGAUAUUCCUAAUAAUAACACAAUAUUCACAAUCCUAAUACUAUAUGGCAUGACUCACGCCAACACUAAAUACUAAAUACAAAUAUACACUUCCUAAAUACAAAUAUACACUUCGUAACAACACCACAACAUUGCAAUUGACCGGAAAAUCAAAGCAAACACAAAACGAAAUGUGAAACAGAAAUGUACUCGAGGAGGAGGGAGGGCUCGAGGCUGGAGCAGCAAGAGGAGGAGGGAGGACCGGAGUAGGAGGAGGAGGAGGAAGGACCGGAGCUAGGGAUGGCAAUAAUCCCCAGCGGGUAGGGUACCCACGGGUAUUCGACCCUAACGGGGAAGAUAUACGGGUAUAAACGGGUAACGGGGAUGGGGAUCCCCAAUAUUCGGAUUCUUAAAUCGGGUACGGGGCGGGUAUGAUAUUUUGAUAUUCGUCCCCAUCCCCACCCAUUAAUGAUGAAAAUAUUAUUAUAUAAUUUAUUAUAUAUAUAUAUAUUUAUAUAUAAUUUAUAAAUAAAUAUUUAUGUAAAAAAAUUUGUGAUUCUCUUAAUAAACAUUUAAUGGACCUUCCUUUUUAUUAUAUAUUUUUAUUGGAUUGAAGCAUGAAACUUGUUUAUUUUGGUAUUUGAUUUUAAUUUCAUACUUUUAUAUAAUUGUAUUUCGUAUUUAAAAAAAAAUUAAUUUAAUACAUAAUUGUUAGCGGGUACGGGUACGGAUAUGGAAACGUAAUCCCCAAAGGGUACGGGUAUGGGGAAUCCCCAUUAUCGAAUUACGGGUACGGGGACGGGUAUAAGGAUGAGAAAUGUAAAAGGGUAUGGGUACGGUAUUUUGAUCCCCGUACUCUAUCCUACCCAUUGCCAUCCCUAACCGGAGCAGCAGGAGGAGGAGGGAGGGCCGGAGCAGCUGGAGCAGGCGAGCAGGCGACCGGGAGAGGGAGAGAGCGGCGACCCGGAGAGGGAGAGGGCGACCGGGAGAGGGAGAUUGGGCUUUGCUAGGAGGCGGUGGAGGCUGUGGAGCGACGGCAUCACGGCGAGGCAGGCGAGGAGGUGGAGGUGGUGUUUAAUUAGGGUUUAGUCUCGCAGACUGGGGAGGCUGUCGAGCGUAGCGCGAUAUACCCGACAACUAUAGCCGACGAAAUAAAUAAAUAUUUCGUCGGCUAAAGAUAUAAAAUAUCGUCGGCUAAGACUAAACUCGUCGGCUAAAGGUUGAAAUUCGUUGGCUAAACCUUUCAAAUUCGUCGGCUAAACCCUUGAAAUUCGUUGGCUAAACGUUGAAAUUCGUCGGCUAAAACUUUGAAAUUAGUCGGCUAAAGUACCUUUUAUACAUUCGGCAAAUUGUGAUUGUGAUGAUCAAACUUGAGAAACUGAAAUCCGACCAUCAUGAUAAAAUACAUGUAUGAGAAAAAAUUCAACUUGAUCCGACAAGGUUAAGGGCUCGAUCCGGACGGUCAAUCCGUUAAGUCAAACCCCUAAACGCACGGAAAAGGUCAUUGGACCGCCUAAAUUACGUAUUUUGUCCGGACCUUCAACUGAAAAUAGUUUCAAACCGAUGAGACCCAACAAGUCAUAUAAAAAUUUUAUGGAAAAUAACCACCGAAUAUAGGGCUACCCAUAGGGAUAAAGAAUGGAAAAUUGCAUUGACCGCAACUAUCGGCACCAAGACUUUACCGGAAUACCUUGAUUUUUCAACCGUAGAUGUAUUUCACCAUUCUGGUCAUAUCUUAUUUCACGACUUUUUUGCGUUUGUAGGUUCUACAUUUAGUUUGUUUUUGAAACGGAACAUUUACUUGGAACACUUGGUAAACAAGUUAUACAACAUUAGUAGGCAUGUUGUGAUUGUGAUGAUCAAACUUGAGAAACAGAAAUCCGACCAUCAGAUCUGACCAUCAUGAUAAAAUACAUGUAUGGGAAAAAAUUCAACUUGAUCUGACAAGGUUAAGGGCUCGAUCCGGACGGUCAAUCCGUGAAGUCAAAUCCCUAAAUGCACGGAAAAGAUCAUUGGACCGCUUAAAUUACGUAUUUUGCUCGGACCUUCAAUUGAAAAUAGUUUCAAACCGAUGAGACCCAACAAGUCAUAUAAAAAUUUUAGGGUUUAUUGUUUAGGGUUUAGCCGACAAAAUAUUAGGGUAUUCGUCGGCUAACCUCAUCUUAGCCGACGAAUUAUGAUACAUUUCGUCGGCUAAGAUUGUUUAAGCCGACGAAUUAUGGUAUAUUUCGUCGGCUAAAAUGGUUUAGGCCGAUGAAUUAUGGUAUAUUUCGUCGGCUAAAGUGUAAAAAUACAUUAAAAAAACAAAAGGUUUAAACCAUACUAACUUCAUGUUCAUAUAUCACCAAAAUUCAUAUAAAAUAACAGAAAUAUGAAUUCAAUAUAUAUAAGCUAUAAAGGUUAUACAUUCUUUUUUAUUACAAAUUAAUGUAAUCGAAAUUAAAACUAAGGCUCGUAAUCGGAAUCAUCCGAUGAGACUUCUUCGGUGUCAGAAUUAAUUUAUGGUAAUCUAUGCAUUUCCUCAUCGCCAGAGUUUUCGUCUGUUUCUUGAUUUGGAUCAACAUCAAUAAGCCUUGGCUCUUCAUCACGAAUUCGCACCGAACGACCCGCUUUAAAAUUAUUAAGGCGAACGGUAGAGGAGUUAGGAAUACCUGUUGCGUUGGGCUCUUGAUACGCAACAUCUUCUUCCUCGUCUUCGGCCUCUCCAAGUGUAGCCGCCCGGUAAAUGUUUCGAGGGUGCACAAGGUUGACUACUUUCCAUGCGUCACCCUUAGCAAGGUCAUCAAGAUAAAACACUUGUUUUACCGAUGUGGCAAAAACGAACGGGUCAUCUUGCCAUGAUAUAAAUGAUGUCCUCUUGCAUUUCCCGGAGGUUAGAUUUUUUCACUUCCCGUGUGCAUAACUUCUGGAAGAAUCCUGCUAACGCUACUAACGGCUCCACCACCAGACGGGGAAGGAACGGUCGAAUGAAAACAGGGAAGAGACGUUGUAGCAGGAUAUGACAGUCAUGACUCUUCAACCCGUACAUCUUAUUGUCCCGGAAGUUCACACACCAGGCUAUAUUUCCUGCAUAGCCUGAAGGAUACUUCACACAACUCAUCCACCUAAAAAUUACGUUCUUCUGGUCAGGCUUCAGGGUGUAAGGAGCUUGAGACAUUUUUUUUUCUUCCCUUCUUUCAACCACAUAUGUCUUCUUAAUUGCAUUCUUUUUAGAUCAAUGCGUGCCUUAGGACCGUCUUUCGUCUUCCCCUCCAAGUUCAGCACUGUGCCCACCACACUGUCGCAAACAUUCUUUUCUAUGUGCAUCACAUCUAGGUAGUGCCUGAUCAACAACUUACUUCAGUAUGGGAGUUCCUAGAAUAUGCUCUUAUGUGUCCAGAAUUUGUACCUGUCGGGUCUUUCAGGUAUUGCCGCUACAAUAUUGGGAUGAUUGCUGAGCUACCCAAAAUCGUACUCAUUAAGCACUGCUAAAAUAUCUUGUUGCAAUGACUGCUGCUCCCCUCAUCACUAAGGCACUCUGGACAAGCCUUGUAUCCCCUAACAACGUUGCCUGACAACAUCCCACGGGCAGGAAAAUCACUGAUGGUACCAACAACCAUGACAUGCAUCUGGAACAUCUCGUGCAUGUACUUGUCAUAAGUGGGAUGACCAACGUCCCACAAAAACUUAAGCUCUUCAAUCAAAGGUCUCAAAUACACAUCGAGACACUUCCCUGGAUAACCGGGCCCCGGAAUCAACAAACUCAACAUAUUGUAUUUCUUCUUCAUGCACAUUCAUGGAGGAAGGUACGGUACCAAAAUCACCGGUCAUACACUGUAUUGAAGACUCAUGUUGCCAAAAGGGUUGAACCCGUCGGAUGAGAGCCCGAGCCUCACAUUUCGGACCUCUGACGCAAAAUGAGGAAACUCCCUGUCUAUAUGCUUCCAAGCCUCCCCGUUAGCAGGGUGUAUAAGGGUAUCUUCGUCAUGCAAUUCCCUAUCAACGUGCCAUCUCAUAGCUUCGGCCGUGUGUGUAGACAUGUACAACCGCUCCAGCCUAUCCCUCAACAAGAAAUACCGAAGUACCUUCACAGGUUCCUUAUUGCCUACAGGAGUCAGUUUAUACAUGUCAGUGUGACAUACCGGACAUGCGUCACGGCCACCAAGGUCAUUCCCUUCUGGAUCUUUACCCCAGAAGAGAACGCAGUCAUAUCUGCAUGCAUGGAUCUUGAUGUAGGAAAGCCCAAGAUCUUUCAGGAUACAUCGGACAUUUUGAUGAGUGGUAGGAAGACGAUGACCGUGGGGCAGCAUCGAAGCAGUGUACUGUAGAUAAUCAUCAACAGCCUUCACGGUCGAUUUUGUCUCAACUUUAAUCUUCAUUACGUCCAUCACACUUUCAAGAACGGUCUUCUGACAACCGGGGUACACAGGGGUCUGUUGGAAAGCAAGCAGUUUGUUGUACUUAUACCAGCAGUGUUGACAGCUCUAGGGAAGGGCUGCACCGAUUCAAGCAUAUACUGUCCUUGAGCGCAUACACCGCUCUCAUAAGGAAACAUGUCGUUGACCGUUGUUGGAUCGUUGGAUGUACUGCCCGUCUCAGAAAAUUGCCCAUGAUCAUGCGGACCCCCUGAUGAUGUUUCACUAUGAUAUAACCAACAUGUGUACUUCUCCCAAAACCCGUUACUCUUCAGGUGCUAUGCCAUACUUUGUCAAUCGCAGAUCGAUGCAUUUCGUGCACGGGCAAUAGAAAAUUGUAUUCCCGUUAGCAUUAGCCGGCGCAUAUUCCAGAAAACUCAUAACUCAUUUACCAUAUCUUUUGUCCCAUUUUGGAAGCGAAAUCCAACUCUUAUCCAUAUCAUGAAAAUAUAACAAAAUAUAUAUGUAUAACUCUAGCUAAUUAUUAAUUAAAUUACAUAUAUAAAAUCUCAAUUCAUUUAGUAUUCUACGUACUACAACUAAUUAAUUAAUAACAAAUUAAUUAACAUAUAUAUACUUAAUAAUUACAUAACAAUAUUAUAUAUCAACAGUUACAAUUGUAACACAUAUUAACUCUCCUUUCAUAAGUACAUCUGUUACAAUUGUAACACAUAUUAACUCUUUUUUGUCUGUUAUUCUCCUUAACUUCAUGAUUUGAAUAUUGUCUACAAGCCUUUAUUCUAUCAUGAUUAUAUCUUCUCAUACACUACUAUAUAUACUCUUCAUGUCAAGCUUAUCUAGAUAUACACAAUGAAAAACUCAUCCUAUUCUCUAUUCUGAUUUCUCCCUAGUCAUUCCUCUUGUGAGUCCAACCAUAUUAUGAGUUAUGCCAAAAGGAGUUAUCAAGCGGUUCUAGGAUCCAAGUAUUGCGAGUGUACGCUUACGAGGAUCAACGGUUGUUGUACCCUGAAGGGUAGGGCGCCAUAAACCAAUUACACCGAGACAUUGUCUUCGAGGAGCGAAAUCUACUCUUAAGGGCAGUGUUUACACGCCUCAACCUUAAACAUUUUCUUGAACAAGUGUUUGAUGCAGGCUUUAUUAUCAAAGAUGAGUAUUUAUAUGGGAAAAUGCCCAUUUAGUACUAAUUUAAACCUCUUAUUGCCUAUUCCAAUGAAUUUAAUAGAUUUGAGCCCAUUCCAAUAUAAGGCGUUCUUAUUUGUGCCAAAAUACACAAAUCUAUAUUAAAGUCAUAAUAAAAUAAUAAUUUUUGUAUAUUUUUAAGACAAUUUUACCCUCACCACUUCAACAUGUAUAAGGAGAGAGAAAAUAAAAGAGUGAGAAGACUCUGCCGGAACCUCACUGGACUCCGGUCACCGGUCGCCGAAAUUUCUUCGGUCGCCGGUUAUUGACCCCUAGUAACUCAGAUUUUAUUCGGUCGUCGGAUUUCGGUCAUUGGUCACCGGUAACUCGGUUACUGACCCCCAAUAACUUGGUUACUAACCCUCAAUAAUCAGUUACUGACCCCCAAUAACUUGGUUUCUGACCCCCAAUAAUCAGUUACUGACCCCUAAUAACUUGGUUACUGACCCCAAAUAACCGAGUUACCAACCCCUAAUAAUCGAGUUACAGAUUCCUUAAAAAGGUUAUUGACCCCAAUAAUCUACAAUAACCCCCAAUAAUCAGGAUUGGCCUGAGUUGCUGACCCCAAAAAAAGCUUAUUCAUAGAGAAACUAAUCAAAAUGCAAUAAAAAAGGAAAAAAAAAUGAAGAAAGAAGUUUAACUAUUUGCCGUUCAUACUAACUAUUUGCAUAUGUGAUGAACUAAAUGCAAUGUACUAGUCAAAUGUAAAAACUUCAGGCCUAACAAUUCAUACCAAAACGCAGACAAAAAAAAAAAGAGGACGCANNNNNNNNNNNNNNNNNNNNNNNNNNNNNNNNNNNNNNNNNNNNNNNNNNNNNNNNNNNNNNNNNNNNNNNNNNNNNNNNNNNNNNNNNNNNNNNNNNNNNNNNNNNNNNNNNNNNNNNNNNNNNNNNNNNNNNNNNNNNNNNNNNNNNNNNNNNNNNNNNNNNNNNNNNNNNNNNNNNNNNNNNNNNNNNNNNNNNNNNNNNNNNNNNNNNNNNNNNNNNNNNNNNNNNNNNNNNNNNNNNNNNNNNNNNNNNNNNNNNNNNNNNNNNNNNNNNNNNNNNNNNNNNNNNNNNNNNNNNNNNNNNNNNNNNNNNNNNNNNNNNNNNNNNNNNNNNNNNNNNNNNNNNNNNNNNNNNNNNNNNNNNNNNNNNNNNNNNNNNNNNNNNNNNNNGAGAGAGAGAGAGUUUUAGAUCUGGAGAAGAGUGAGGGACGGGAGAAGAGAGAGGGAGAGAGAUAUGAUGUAUUUGACUACUAAGGGUAUAAACGUCUUUUUCUUUAAAUUCAUUAGAAUGGGCUUAGACAAAAGAUUUUCAUUGAAAUUGGGUUUGUAUAUAUUGUUUGACUAAAUGAGUAUUUUCUCUAUUUAUAUUUUGUUAUUUUAUUGUUAUUUUGACAUCAUUAUAAGUAUUAUUAUUUGUUAAUAAUUUUGAGUAUUUAUGUGAUUUUAUAGGUAGCAAAAUUUGGUGACGUUAUUAACAUCCAUCGACCCAAAUUUUCCAACACUGAUAACUAUAAUUACUCACAAUCUGAUUAACUUGUGUGUACAUGCAUACUUAAUUUGCAAGUCUUAACGUAGAACAAAGCUUCUAAUUCUAGUCGGAUUUGUUUAAUGUACGCGCGUUGUCAUUUUAAUUUCAUACAUUAGUACUAAAAUACUACAUGAGAACUUACACGCCAACAUGGUGACUGGGUGGGAGUCUGAAACUUUGUUGUUCACGCACUGUUAAUAUACCCUGUAAAUACAGAUCACACACCAUGUAACCCUCCUAUAUAUUCUCAUUUUCUCAAGUCAAAAAUAAACAUUCUCACCUUUUACUGAUCAGUUACUCAAACUGGUUUACAAAUGAUAAAUGUGCUGAAGGUUUGAAGUUGAAGUGAAUUACCAAUUCAAGUAUAAGCAUUGAACCACAUGCGCUAUCGAUAAAUUAAUUUGUCAAGUUAAUUUCACAGAAAAUAAAAAUAAGAAAAAUGCCCAUUUAGUACUAUAAUUUAAACCCUUUAUUGCCCAUUUCAAUGAAUUUAAUAGACAUGAGCCAAUUCCAAUAUAAGAUGUUCUUAUUUGUGCCUAAAUACACAAAUCUAUAUUUAAGUCAUAAUAAAAUAAUAAUUUUUGUAUAUUUUGAAGACAAUUUUACCCUCACCACUUCAACAUGUAUAAAGAGAGAGAAAGUGAAAGAGUGAGAAGACUUUGCGGGAACCUCGCCGGACUCCGGUCAUCGGUCACCGGUUGCCGGAAUUUCUUUGGUCACCGGUUAUUGACCUUUAGUAACUCAAAUUUUCUCCGAUCGCCAAAUUUCGGUAUUUGGGUACUGACCCCCAAUAAUUAGUUACUGAGCCCCAAUAACUUUGUUACUGACUCCCAAUAAUUAGUUCCUGACCCCCAAUAACUUGGUUACUGACCCCCAAUAAUCAGUUACUGACCCCUAAUAAUCAACUUAUUUCAGCUUAUUAUAAUAGAAAAGAAGAAAUACUAAAAAAAAAUCGAUUUACUGACCUCAUAAUUGAGUUACUGACCCCCAAUAAUUUGGUUUACUGACCCCCAAUAACUCGGUUAUUGACCCCCAAUUAUUAAUUACUGACCCCCAACAACUUGGUUACUGACCCCCAAUAAUCAAUUUAUUUCAGCUUAUUGUAAUAGAAAAUAAGAAAUAUUAGAAAAAAUCGAUUUACGGACCCCAUAAUUGAGUUACUGACCCCUAAUAAUUUGGUUUAUUAAGAGGUAAUAAAUAUUGAGAAAUUGUUUACUACCCCAAUAAAUGUUUAUUAACCCUAAUAAACGUUAGAAAAUGAAGCUAUUACUUCCACAAAUCCUCUUAUAGAAGCUAAUAUAAGGUUUACAAGGAGAUAAUAUCUAAAAUAUAUAUGCAUUGUACAAAGUCACCAACACCACACAACCUCUCUUCAACAGUAAAUUAUUGACCCCAUUAAUCAUGGUAUUGACCUUUAUUAAUGAUUACUAACCCUUGAUAACAUGUUAUUAACCCUCAAUAAACAUUUUCCUCUUCAUGAACCCGUUCUGCAAAUGGCAACCUUACCAUGGACCCGAUCUGUAAUCAACACAUGGUCUACCCACCGCAUCUCUUCCCCCGCUCCUUCAGAUCCGACCCGGUCUUCACCAAAGACGACCUUGACAGCACUACGGCAGUGGAGGAUUCAGAUCUGGAGAUGAAAAUCCAGAUAGUCUCGGAGGAGAUCGGCGCCUUGCUCGUUUGGUUCCACCAGUGAACGACUUCGCUGCGGUAAAAGGUGUUGCUGCAAUGAAAGGCGUCGCUGCGGAGAGUGGUUCCACCGGUGACGGCCUCGCUAUGGUGAAUAACGUCGCUGCGAUGAACAACGUUGCUGUGGAGAGCGGCGACAUUUCGAUCCCUCCAGCAUGAACCGUGUCGUGGCUCACAGAUCGAAUAGAGGGAGAGAGAGAGAGAGAGAGAGAGAGAGAGAGAGAGAGAGAGAGAGAGAGAGAGAGAGAGUAGUAGUAGUAUNNNNNNNNNNNNNNNNNNNNGAGAGAGAGAGAGGAGGGUAGUUGUCUUUUUUUCAAAAUCAUUGGAAUGGGCUGGCUAAACUUUUUUCAUUAGAAUGAGCUAUUAAAACCCUGAUUUUGACUAAAUAGACAUUUUUCCAUAAAAAUAUCAUCACCUUUACUAUUCAAUCUCUCCUACAGUCAUACAUGAUUAAAGAUCUUAGGAUUGCAACACUAAUUCUGUUAAUCUGCAGUCAAAUACUUUACUUUUGGCUCAAGAGCUCGACUAAAAUAUUCUAUGGGUAUUUCAUAUAUGAAAGAGGUUAUCAUUUAUUAGUUGAUAUUUUAUGACGAUGUAAGAGACUAAGCUCAGUACUCAUAUGUACCAAUAACAAGUGAUUUGUUAAUCUCUAAGUUACACUGAGUUUUGAGAUUUUUUGUUAUUAUUUAUUGUCUACUAUAAGAAUUUAAUUUCCUCCAACAUUUCAAAAUAAAUCAAUGGAGAAAAAAGUGAAGUUUAAGAACAAAAAGUGAUGCAUCAUUCUGUUAGAAGGAGCUAGAAGUCCAUGGCAAUUAUUAUUUGGGAUUUGGCUUUGCAUGUGCAUAUAUGCUGAUCAUUAAAUACUGGAUUGAAAUGAGAAUUAGAAUUUUUUUUUCUUAGAAUUUUUUUUUCUUAGAAAAGAAAUGAGAAUUAGGUUGAGCAACUGAGCAAGAGAAAUAAAAUGAAUAUGAGAAGGAUAGUGACGUGAGUUGUAUGAACAAACAAUAGAAGCCUUGUGACUAGGAUUAGUCGUCAGGUACUGACAGGCCGGGCAGGCCGAAACUGUAAAAAUAGUUCAGAGUUGUGAUUCCUAGUACGCAGUCUCAGACUCACAGUAACCUACAUAGAGAGUUUCUGACUUUACUUUUAGCAGUUGAGAAUUAUACUAAUAAUUGCCAACCAUGUUUUUAUAUUCGUGAAGAAACAUACCAUAUAUGCACUAGCUACAACAAUACAAACUAAUUACACCCUAAUGCUUUUCCAAUCAGCCUCGCCUUAAAAAUACUAGCUAAUUCAUGCUUAGUGUGAUUGAUAAUCCAAUCGUAUUUGUAGAAAGUGUUAGUUCAUGAAGACAUUAUCAAAGUAAGGAAACACCUUUAGGAGAUUCACUAAAUUCCUUAACAAAUAAGAAAAGAAAUCAAUUGAGAUAUUAACACUUCCGGACUUAAUUAUAUGCUAAAUAAGUUAAUUUCCUCCAAUAUUUCAAACUAAAAUUAGAAAAGUGAAAAUGGCAUGCAUUAUGUGAAUGCGCAGCAGAUUGGCGGUCAUUCUAUUUGAGAAACAAACAUGCAUUAUGUGCAUGCAUGUGUGUGUGUAUAAAUGCACAAAUCAUAUGCAAACCACACCACCGAGGAAAAAAAACGAAAUGAUGAUGAGAAGAAUCGUAGUGAAAGUUGUGUGACACUGAUAGAACAAAGAUUGAAGAAUAUAAAUAUGAACAGCUAAACCCGGCCAAUACAAAAGAAAUUCAUGCGAAUUAAUGAAAAUAACUGCACGAUCAGGAUGCAUAUGAAACUUCUUCAUUUUUAGAUGUUUAUCAACGCAAAUGAAUAAGAUUGUCAAGUGUCAACUAAUCGAACUCUAAUUCUGUUAACAUAUAUAAUUGUUAUUAGCCAUAUAUAGUUUACCGACCAUGCAUGCACGCACACAUGCACUGAUGCACAUCGAGUUUGCAUUUUGCAGAAACAAUUAACUGUGUAUUUUUUCUUUAUUGAGAUCGAUUGAAAUGAAAUACAAGUACAUCACUCAACCAAAAUAAAUUGACAGAAUGAUAAACAAAAAUGUAAGCCACACAAACAUAUAGAAAUGGGAGACAUGCGUAUGCCUCUAGCUAGCUUGGAGUAUAGUAGAGAUCGAGAUAGUUUAGUUGUAGGCAUCA
Molecule: long non-coding RNA, 22730 nt
Filed under: Fragaria vesca (wild strawberry)
Lineage: Eukaryota; Viridiplantae; Streptophyta; Magnoliopsida; Rosales; Rosaceae
Description: long non-coding RNA (FVES_LNC001573)
Source: RNAcentral